GACGAACGCUGGCGGCGUGCUUAACACACGCAAGUCGAACGGAAAGGCCCUGCUUGCAGGGUACUCGAGUGGCGAACGGGUGAGUAACACGUUGGUGAUCUGCCCUGCACUUCGGGAUAAGCCUGGGAAACUGGGUCUAAUACCGGAUAGGAGCCAUUUUUAGUGUGAUGGUUGGAAAGUUUUUUCGGUGUAGGAUGAGCUCGCGGCCUAUCAGCUUGUUGGUGGGGUAAUGGCCUACCAAGGCGGCGACGGGUAGCCGGCCUGAGAGGGUGGACGGCCACAGUGGGACUGAGAUACGGACCAGACUCCUACGGGAGGCAGAAGUGGGGAAGAUUGCACAAUGGGAGCAAGCCUGAUGCAGCGACGCCGAGUGGGGGAUGACGGCCUUCGGGUUGUAAACUCCUUUCGCUAGGGACGAAGCUUUUUGUGACGGUACCUAGAUAAGAAGCACCGGCUAACUACGUG
Molecule: ribosomal RNA, 465 nt
Filed under: uncultured bacterium
Lineage: Bacteria
Description: partial 16S ribosomal RNA
Rfam family: Bacterial small subunit ribosomal RNA
Source: RNAcentral